AAUCUGACCAUGAAGGAUUCUGGGUCGUAUCUUUGUGGCAUCCAGAGAAACUCAGGAAUGGAUGUUUUCUCUGCUGUUCAGCUGGAGGUCAAAGAAUUGCUCUGUCUGAAGUCAUACGACAUCAGCGGCCUUGUGGGACAUGCAGUGACUCUGCGGUGUCCUAAUCCACCAGAACAGCGAGACAGAAAGAAGUUCCUCUGUAAAGGAGAGCAACACAACAACUGCACAGAUAUGAUGGAGAACCAAAUGAAGUUCAUGCUGCACAAUGUUUCCUCCAUCUGUUUCUCUAUGACCAUCACAGAAUUGGAAGCAGCUGAUGCAGGAACAUACUUCUGCGGCUCAGACGCUCAGCUGAGCUACACAAAAAUAAAGCUGACAGUAGGUGAGAUCCGCAAAGUGGUAAAUAAAUUAAUAUAAAGCACCUGAAAAUCUAGGCCAAGGCUUUUUACCACAGCACGUUUCAUUUUUGCCUCUGACAGUCUCUCCACAUCAAAUCAGCUCUGUGGCUUCGAUCAGCACUGCUGAACAAGUCACAUCACAGCCACCAUCAACACGUGUUCCUGAUGUGACUUUAUUUUACAUUCUGCCUACAGUCUUUGCUCUGCUGUUGGUCCUGACAUUUGUACUUUUAAUGAUUUUAAAGUACAAACAAAGCAGAAAACCAGUUGAUGGAGUCAAAGUUAAUGCAUCUAGCUCUGAUGAUGAUGCUGUGGAGAUGACGAUUAAUGAUAUUUAUGAUUUACACGAGGAUCAGGUUUACAUGAACUGUUCCAGUCCACCAACCAUGUUGAGUCAUGAGGACAAUGAUAUCUACAACAACACCCUGUACAGGAGUGGAGACCUGGUGCAAUAAGGAAACAUGUGACUAGUGUUUAACAGCUUAUUAAAUCAGCCAAAUGCUUCUCUAUUUUUAUUUAGACAAGUUUACAAUAUUUUAGUUUCCAUAUCAAAUGUGACGAAGUGUGUUAAACCAUGUUAAGCUACGCCAUACCCUGAUGGUGGUGAGCUGUAUUUGUAGCCAUAGCUGCUCUGGGGCAGACUGACAGAAGCGAGGCUGCCAUACAUUGGCGCCACCUCUGACCUCCGCCGGCAGGCAAUGCAGGUGAAGUGUCUUGCCCAAGGACUGAAACGGUCUAACCGGCAACCAGCUGUUUACAGGACAAAUUCCCCAACUCUUGCGCCACUGUCUGCACCUUUUACUGUAUCCUAAAAGUGUAAACUCUCUCUGUCAGCAACAGUGUUUGAUAUGGGUAAUAUGGCUCUCUGGCUAGAGAGCCACAGGCUGGAGGGAUAAGGAGUCUAGGGAAAUAAGUAAUUUUUUUAUUAUUUUCUUCAACAGCUUCAUGUCCACUAGGUUCCAAUCUACCUAAGUUCAGGUCUGUACACAGGUCCUGGUAAAAGUCGUCCCAAAUGACCUGAUGAUGGUAGCAGAUAUUGGUUUCCCCCUUGCUACUCAACC
Molecule: RNA transcript, 1459 nt
Organism: Fundulus heteroclitus (mummichog)
Lineage: Eukaryota; Metazoa; Chordata; Actinopteri; Cyprinodontiformes; Fundulidae
Gene name: CMRF35-like molecule 8
Exons: 5
Source: RefSeq, a predicted model, not a curated record